This is a long non-coding RNA of Oncorhynchus tshawytscha (Chinook salmon), 1033 nucleotides long. NCBI's taxonomy places the organism in Eukaryota, Metazoa, Chordata, Actinopteri, Salmoniformes, Salmonidae. The record is from Ensembl.
CAGUAUGCCGUGGCCGGUGUCACGACUAUAGCGCACACCCAGCUGAAUGAAUGGCCUGUCACUUAUUAUAAGGGUUAUUAAUAACGGCUUUAUAAUAUACUAUUUUUGGUCAAUAAUAAAAUGACAUGCCCUGAUGCCUACUUAUAAAAUAAUAUAAAUAGACACAUUCUUAAAAGGUAAUAUACUAAAACAUAAUAAUUUCAUAAUCUCUCAUCCAUCCAUCCCAUUCUCUCUGUCAUAAUGACAUAUUUUUGAUAGUCUCCAUCGUUACAUAGCCUCAGUUACUCAACCGACCUUCCAGACAGUCAGCAACAGCAUGGUUGGUUCCCAAUUCCAUACAAAAUAACUACAUCCCAUUGUGGCAGCUGAGGAGGAUUUCUCACUCCCAUCAUCAUCAUCAUCAUCAUCAUCAUCUACAUCAUCGCCAUAACAGAUAAUAACAAAAUCAUCGUGUCAUCGUUAUCCUGUUGCCCCUCUGCCCCUCUUCCAACAAUGAUUUCCUUUACAACCUAUAAUGACAGUGAUAGUGGUACGUACCUUAGGGAUGCUCUGCUCGCGGAUCUCAGAACGGUCUGUAUGCUAUCCUGGUCGCUCUCUCUGCCACCUUGUACUGUUCUAUCACGUUCACUCCGGCACGUAUGAGAACUGCGACGUCAUCGAAGUGAAAAAAAAGGAAACUCCCCGACUUACUCACCACUACAGGGAUAGUACAGGGUCCUAGUGUCGGCAGCGUUUAGAGUGACAGCCCGUUUCCGGUUUGGUGGUUGGUGACGCAACAGUGACUGUAACUGAUGUAUUCAUUUCCUUUUCUAUUUCCUGCAUUUUUAAAGUAUUUUUGUGCCACUUAUGGUCUCAGAACAGGUCAAUGAACAGAUAUGAUUUAGAGCUCUGGGAUGCUUGGAGGAAACAUAUACAGUGGCAUCUCUCUGUGUGUGUGUGUGUGUGUGUGUGUGUGUGUGUGUGUGUGUGUGUGUGUGUGUGUGUGUGUGUGUGUGUGUGUGUGUGUGUGUGUGUGUGUGUGUGUGUGUGUGCC